GAGUAGUCAGUGUGUUAAUUUCUCUUUACGUAUAGGGCCUAAUCUUCGUAGACGUUAAAUUGAAGAAAUAGAUGAACCAAUGCUUAUCCUUCUAAACACCUACAUUGAUAUCUUCUGAUGAUAUCCUGUGUGUGAAAUGUUUUGUAUUAUUACAAAACCAGACAGCAUCUAACUCAAAUCUGUCACUUGUAUCCCCUGCUCGUGGACACCUAAACAUAUGCUACGCAUGUGGCUUGUCAACAGCAAGUCGCAGAACUCAUAGAGUCAGUCAAGAUAGUUCCUCAAAGGAAUGUUAUACUAAGAUGGACACCAGUACAUCACGUGUUGCAUUUGGAACGAGUUUGUGUUCCUUGUUGGGCGGCUGCAUCAAGACAAGUCCGGAGGCAACCCGUUGCUGGCAGUAGCCAACACACUGUGGAGUCUGCACCGGAGACUGGUAUCAUGGAUGGAAACAUAAUUACAGAUAUGAUGAUUCCUGUACCACCACCACUGCCACCGCUUUAAUGAUAUAAGCGCUCCAGCACAAUUUCUAGACAACAUAUUCCUUGAAGAAUAAAUAUCUAUUAUUUUAA
Molecule: long non-coding RNA, 572 nt
Organism: Helicoverpa zea (corn earworm)
Lineage: Eukaryota; Metazoa; Arthropoda; Insecta; Lepidoptera; Noctuidae
Exons: 3
Source: RefSeq, a predicted model, not a curated record